Podarcis lilfordi (Lilford's wall lizard) is the source of this 4737-nucleotide non-coding RNA. The record is from the annotation of a GenBank genome assembly. NCBI's taxonomy places the organism in Eukaryota, Metazoa, Chordata, Lepidosauria, Squamata, Lacertidae.
CCGAUUUCUGUUCUUAUCCUGAAGCAAAGUUCUUAACCUGAAGCACUAUUUCUGGGUUAGUGGAGUCUGUAACCUGAAGCGUAUGUAACCUGAAGCGCAUGUAACCUGAGGUACCACGGUAUUGGCAUUUCAUUUUAAGAUGCAAGAGCUACGUCUUUGUUCGAAUCGGAGCAUUAGCAAAAGCUGUGUGGAGCAUAGAAGCACACAGCGUUCUCUUGGGAGGCUCUUAUAAAACACAACUUCAAUUGUGGCGUACUUCCAUGGAGAUUUGACGUUCAGCAAUCGGCAGGUAGACCUAGCCAGGUCCCCAAAAUUUCUAAUUAGUGAAACUAGAAGAUACUUGACUUCCCAAAUGCCAUACAUAGCUAACCUUGAAAUACCAAAACAGCGAAGGGCUUUCACCUUGGCCCGUUGUCAGGCUCUCCCUUCAGCAGUCCAGGAAGGCCGUUAUAGGAAGAUACCUUAGGAGGAAAUGCCCAUGGGCUCUGAGCAGCAGGAAACAAUGGAGCAUGCCCUUUUUAUUGCCAGUAUUAUAUAGACAUUUGAGCCAGGUUUAUCCAGCCCAUCCUAUAAAAAUUCCCAGGGCAUUCAGAACAACACAAAUUUUCCCUAUUACUACAGGACGAAAGGCCAGAAGUCAUAUUCAGGCGCCAGAUUCUGUGCUGUCAUGAUAGAUACUCGUCGAAGGAUGGUCUAUGCUACAAAUCAGUCCUAAAAUGAAGGCCCAUAUUGUUAGAUCUGUAUCACUGAAGCACCACCACAUAUAGCUGUUUUAACUGGUCUUUUUAAUUCUUAAUAGUUUUGGGGGCCUGCACUCACCGCCACAGCUUGAGGGCCUCCAUCAAGGCCUCCGGGAGUAGUUUAAUUUGAGCACUAUUGUUUCUUGCUUUGUUUUUAAUUUUAUUAUUCUGUUAAGUUAUUAUAUAGUUUGUAUUUUGCUUUUUAAGGGGAAGGGUCAGGGCUGCCGGGAAUGGGCCUCAGCCAAUAGAAUGGCUGGGGCAGGUUCCACAGGGGGGGAUGUAUUGGGACAUCCGAUCUCGGUGAUCAUGGGCAGGAGGCGGAGUUACACUAAGACCAGACCAUGUCAUUACUGAGGAGGCAGGCUUAGUCGUUGUUUGAGGACUAUCCCUGCCUCCAGAUCUGGUCCUGACCGGAAGGAUACAGGAAUCAGCAGGGGAAACCCACAUCAUCUGAAAGUGUUGCUGUGCAAUGCCAGGUCAAUGAUGAAUAAAACCACUGCCAUCCACGACCUGAUUGUGGGUGGAGGAUUUGACCUGGCAUGUGUGACAGAGACCUGGUUGGAGGAAGCAGAUGGGCCUGUCCUUGCCACUGCUUGCCCACCAGGUUUCUCUUACGCACAGCAACCCAGGUCAUGUGGGCGGGGAGGGGGGGUUGCAGUGAUUUUUAGGAAGUCAUUAGUCUGCACCAGGCAUUCUAUUGGGAAGACCCAGUUUUCUGAGUGCAUGUUCUGGAAGUUGGGCAAUAGGGGCAGUACAGGAUUCCUAUUGGUGUACCGACCUCCCCGCUGCACCAAGGAUUCCCUGCCCGAGCUGCUUCAGGUCGUGGCAGAUAUGCUCCUGGAGACACUUAGCUUGGUUGUCCUGGGGGAUUUUAACAUCCAUGCCGACACGACCUUACAAGGGGCUGCUCGGGACUUCGUGGAAAGCAUGGCCUCCAUGGGGCUGUCCCUGAAUAUGUUUGGCCCAACUCAUAGUCAUGGACAUGCCUUAGACUUGGUGUUUACCUCUAUGGAUGGUGGUGAUCUGACACUAACUAAAAGCGAAACAAAAGAAAUGCCAUAGUCAGAUCACUUCCUGGUGCAACUGGACUUCUCCGUGACCCUUCCCCUCUGCAGGGAGGUGGGACCGAUUCGGAUGGUCCGCCCCCGCCACUUAAUGGAUCCAAUUGGCUUCCAGAGAGUGGUAGGGGAUGUUUUAUCCCAAGUUGAUGGCCUUUCAGCUGAUUCCCUGGUGGCACGCUGGAAUGCAGAGUUAACCGGGGCUAUUGACUGUCUGGCUCCGAAGCGCCCUCUCCGAUUGCAUGGAGCCCGGACAGCCCCGUGGUUUUCCCCGGAGCUGAGGGUGAUGAAACAAUCGUUGAGAUGGCUAGAGCGCCGGUGGCAGAAAACUCAUUCUGAAUCAGACCAGACACGGGCUAGAGCUCAACGUCGAGCCUACCAAGUGGCAAUGGCGACAGCAAAGAGGGCCUUCUUCGCCGCCUCCAUUGCAUCUGCAGAAAACAGCAGCAGGAGACUUUUCCAGGUGGUUCGCAAUCUAUUGGAACCACCUGUACCACCGGGGCCUGGUAGGGACCCCAAGAUCUCCUGCAAUGCUUUUGCAGUUUUUUGAAGAUAAAGUCGCUCAGAUUCAGAAGGAGGUAGGCUCCACCGUGGGAGGGCCAGGGCGGGAGAGUGCUAGAGUUCUGUCUGGUCCUGUUACAUGGGAUCAAUUCCAAUCUGUUACCUCCGAGGAUGUGGACAGGCUGCUUGGACAAGUGAAACCGACCACCUGUCUCCUUGAUCCUUGCCCAUCCUGGCUGAUAAAAGUGAGCCAGGAAGGGCUGGGUGAUGGGCUCUGCGGGGUGGUGAAUGCUUCCCUCUGUGAGGGAGCCUUCCCAGACCCGCUGAAAGAGGCGGUCAUUAAACUGCUUCUUAAAAAAACAUCUUUCGACCCGGCCAAUUUGGCCAAUUAUCGCCCAGUCUCAAAUCUAUCAUUCUUGGGCAAGGUGAUUGAGCGGGUGGUUGCCGAACAACUCCAAGCACGCCUGGAGGAUGCAGACCAUUUGGAUCCCUUCCAAUCGGGAUUCAGGCCUCACCAUGGGACUGAAACUGCCUUGGUCGCGUUGGUUGAUGAUCUCCGGCAGGCUAGGGACAAAGGUGAGAGCUGUUUCCUAGUUCCUUUCUCCUGGGCCGUGUCCAGAAUGGGGAUGAGUGUUCAGACCCCUGGGCUCUCAUUUGUGGGGUGCCUCAGGGUUCUGUCCUCUCCCCCAUGCUUUUUAAUAUCUAUAUGAAGCCGCUGGGAGAGAUCAUCAGAGGGUUUGGACUGGGUGUUCAUCAGUAUGCAGAUGACACCCAGCUCUACCUCUCCUUUAAAUCAGAACCAGUGAAGGUAGUGAAGGUCCUGUGUGAGUGCCUAGAGGCGGUUGGAGGAUGGAUGGCGUUUAACAGAUUGAGGUUGAAUCCUGACAAGACAGAACUACUGUUUUUGGGGGACAGGAAGCUGGCGGGUGUGGGGGAUUCCCUGGUCCUGAAUGGGGUAACUGUGCCCCUGAAGGACAGGUGUGCAGCCUGGGAGUCAUUUUGAACUCAUAGCUGUCCAUGGAGGCGCAGGUUAACUCUGUGUCCAGGGCAGCUGUUUACCAGCUCCAUCUGGUACGCAGGCUAAGACCCUACCUGCCCACGGACUGUCUCGCCAGAGUGGUGCAUGCUCUAGUUAUCUCCUGCUUGGACUACUGCAACACGCUCUACGUGGGGCUACCUUUGAAGGUGACCCGGAAACUGCAAUUAAUCCAGAAUGCGGCAGCUAGACUGGUGACUGGGAGUGGCCGCUGGGACCACAUAACACCGGUUCUGAGAGAUCUGCAUUGGCUCCCAGUACGUUUCCGAGCACAAUUCAAAGUGUUGGUGCUGACCUUUAAAGCCCUAAACGGCCUCGGUCCUGUAUACCUGAAGGAGCGUCUCCACCCCCAUCGUUCAGCCUGGACACUGAGAUCCAGCGCCGAGGGCCUUCUGGCGGUUCCCUCAUUGCGAGAAGUGAGGCUACAGGGAGCCAGACAGAGGGCCUUCUCGUAGUGGCGCCCGCCCUGUGGAACGCCCUCCCAUCAGAUGUCAAAGAGAUAAACAACUACCUGAUAUUCAGAAGACAUCUUAAGGCAGCCCUGUUCAGGGAAGUUUUUAAUAUGUAAUGCUGUACUGUUUUUAACACUUGAUUGGGAGCUGCCCAGAGUGGCUGGGGAAACUCAGCCAGAUGGGCGGGGUAUAAAUAAUAAAUUAUUAUUAUCAUUCACCCGUUAUUUAUGCUUAAUCAAAUAUUCUAUGUAUGUUUUAAUCUACAGUUGGUUCUUGCUCCCAUUUAUUCAAUAAUUGUUCGCUUAGAUUCAUACUGUUAUGCUAUUUAUUUAGGUUAUGCUGGUUUGUGGCAGAAUAAAGUAAAGUAAGACGUUCAGCAAUGCUUCCAAGGGACCUACGCUGAGAGCACUUUGCCACUUUUCGCCCUUUGCAGAGGAUCAGCAACCUCCAACAGAUGAUAUGAGCUGCAGGGUUAUGAUGAUACCACAAGCCCCUCUUGAUUACCAUGCAGGAAGGCCUGUUUUCCCAGCACUGCAUCUCAUGCUUGCUGUCAUGAAAUGAAAUGUGUACAAACCGUGUACUAAAAACAUGCACACACAUGUAAAACGUAUUAUUCACUGCAGGGUGGUGAAGAUCCAGAGGGGGAAAUGGAACCCCUCAGCUGUCCUCUCCCCUUAACUGCCAUUUGGGGGUAGCCAUUCCAUCAGGUUGCCUCAGUGGAAGAGGUAGGAAGCACGGUUCAUUUCAUUGGCUUUGCGGAAGACCCUUUUACUGUGCCAGCUGGUCAUUACAGCACACCUGUUUAGAAAUUGGUGCUUGAGUUUUGGUUUUUUACUUUCCUCUUCCUUCCCUCCCUGUCCCUUUCCCCUUGUGUGUCCUUUCUCCCACCCCCCGGGAUUAUAAGCCUACAGUGGCACUGUGUUAGUUUGAUUGUAUGUGAACCACUCUGG